GAACUCAACAGACAUUUUAUAGAGAUGGCCCAGAGACUGCGGGAAUGAUAUCUGUGUGUAUAUAUUAAAAGACAGGAAAAGUGGUGGUGAUUAAUUAGAAAUUUAUCAGAAAGCGUGGGAUCUGGGCAUGAUGUAAAUCAUAUAAAAUAAGGGGUGGAUGUUGUCCUGGUUUUGGCUGGGAUAGAGUUAAUUUUCUUCUUAGUAGCUGGUACAGUCUUCUGUUUUGUGUUCA
Molecule: long non-coding RNA, 232 nt
Organism: Aquila chrysaetos chrysaetos
Lineage: Eukaryota; Metazoa; Chordata; Aves; Accipitriformes; Accipitridae
Exons: 3
Source: RefSeq, a predicted model, not a curated record